Molecule: ribosomal RNA, 228 nt
Filed under: uncultured bacterium
Lineage: Bacteria
Description: partial 16S ribosomal RNA
Rfam family: Bacterial small subunit ribosomal RNA
Source: RNAcentral
UGCGUAGGCGGUCCUGCAAGUUGGGUGUGAAAUCCCUCGGCUCAACCGAGGAAUUGCGCUCAAAACUGCCGGACUUGAGGGAGACAGAGGCGAGCGGAACUUGCGGUGGAGCGGUGAAAUGCGUUGAUAUCGCAAGGAACACCUGUGGCGAAAGCGGCUCGCUGGGUCUCUUCUGACGCUCAUGCACGAAAGCUAGGGGAGCGAACAGGAUUAGAUACCCUGGUAGUC